CCUACGGGAGGCAGCAGUGGGGAAUAUUGGGCAAUGGGCGCAAGCCUGACCCAGCAACGCCGCGUGAAGGAAGAAGGCUUUCGGGUUGUAAACUUCUUUUCUCAGGGACGAAGCAAGUGAUGGUACCUGAGGAAUAAGCCACGGCUAACUACGUGCCAGCAGCCGUGGUAAUACGUAGGUGGCAGGCGUUAUCCGGAUUUACUGGGUGUAAGGGGCGUGUAGGCGGGAAAGCAAGUCAGAUGUGAAAACCAUGGGCUCAACCUGUGGCCUGCAUUUGAAACUGGUUUGCUUGAGUACUGGAGAGGCAGACGGAAUUCGUAGUGUAGCGGUGAAAUGCGUAGAUAUUAGGAGGAACCCCAGUGGCGAAGGCGGUCUGCUGGACAGCAACUGACGCUGAGGCGCGAAAGCGUGGGGAGCAAACAGGAUUAGAUACCCUAGUAGUC
Molecule: ribosomal RNA, 443 nt
Filed under: uncultured bacterium
Lineage: Bacteria
Description: partial 16S ribosomal RNA
Rfam family: Bacterial small subunit ribosomal RNA
Source: RNAcentral